Molecule: transfer RNA, 76 nt
Filed under: Merismopedia glauca CCAP 1448/3
Lineage: Bacteria; Bacillati; Cyanobacteriota; Cyanophyceae; Synechococcales; Merismopediaceae
Description: tRNA-Asn
Rfam family: tRNA
About the family: Transfer RNA (tRNA) molecules are approximately 80 nucleotides in length. Their secondary structure includes four short double-helical elements and three loops (D, anti-codon, and T loops).
Source: RNAcentral
UGCCCUAUAGCUCAAUUGGCAGAGCAACGCGCUGUUAACGCGGAGGUUGUAGGUUCGAUUCCUACUGGGGCAGCCA